This 266-nucleotide unclassified non-coding RNA is filed under the name Glomus sp. RNAcentral describes it as "partial internal transcribed spacer 2". Lineage: Eukaryota; Fungi; Glomeromycota; Glomeromycetes; Glomerales; Glomeraceae. The record is from RNAcentral.
GUGAAUCAUCGAAUUUUUGAACGCAAAUUGCACUCUCUGGUAUGACUAUGAGUGUCUGUGUGUGAGCCUCAAAAAAAUUUACAUAGUGGGUGUUUCGUGGUUACAUUCGUCGGGAAUUGGGUCUUGUUAGACCUUUCGGUUUAAGCGGCUUAAAAUUUUCUUUAUGAUUUCAAGAACGUUGCUAAGAUUGUAUCUUCUUAUACGUUUAAGUUAUCGAUCUUUAUUAGACGUGGCCGUUGUAUGGGAUGGCGUCUAUAAAUAUUACG